This 213-nucleotide ribosomal RNA is filed under the name uncultured bacterium. Its description in RNAcentral is "partial 16S ribosomal RNA". It matches the Rfam family "Bacterial small subunit ribosomal RNA", at positions 524 to 733 of the family's 1533-position model. The record is from RNAcentral.
UACGUAGGCAGCGAGCGUUUGUUCGGAGUUACUGGGCGUAAAGGGUGUGUAGGCGGUUGUUUAAGUUUGGUGUGAAAUCUCCCGGCUCAACUGGGAGGGUGCGCCGAAUACUGAAUGACUUGGAGUGCGGGAGAGGAGAGUGGAAUUCCUGGUGUAGCGGUGAAAUGCGUAGAUAUCAGGAGGAACACCGGUGGUGUAGACGGCUCUCGUCGA